UGUCAUCCACACGGGAGCCCUAUUGCAGGGGCUGAGAUCGGGCUGAGGCAGCCUGCGACCGUCGAACCUGUCCGGGUAAUGCCGGCGAAGGAAGAGGAACCCCAUCAUGA
Molecule: non-coding RNA, 110 nt
Filed under: Kocuria flava
Lineage: Bacteria; Bacillati; Actinomycetota; Actinomycetes; Micrococcales; Micrococcaceae
Description: TPP sequence
Rfam family: TPP riboswitch aptamer (THI element)
About the family: Vitamin B(1) in its active form thiamin pyrophosphate (TPP) is an essential coenzyme that is synthesised by coupling of pyrimidine and thiazole moieties in bacteria. The previously detected thiamin-regulatory element, thi box was extended, resulting in a new, highly conserved RNA secondary structure, the THI element, which is widely distributed in eubacteria and also occurs in some archaea.
Source: Rfam by way of RNAcentral